GCACCCGUAGCUCAGCUGGAUAGAGUACUCGGCUACGAACCGAGCGGUCGGAGGUUCGAAUCCUUUCGGGUGCGCCA
This 77-nucleotide transfer RNA is filed under the name Parahaemophilus parainfluenzae. Its description in RNAcentral is "Haemophilus parainfluenzae tRNA-Arg". It matches the Rfam family "tRNA". Rfam says of the family: Transfer RNA (tRNA) molecules are approximately 80 nucleotides in length. Their secondary structure includes four short double-helical elements and three loops (D, anti-codon, and T loops). Further hydrogen bonds mediate the characteristic L-shaped molecular structure. tRNAs have two regions of fundamental functional importance: the anti-codon, which is responsible for specific mRNA codon recognition, and the 3' end, to which the tRNAs corresponding amino acid is attached (by aminoacyl-tRNA synthetases). tRNAs cope with the degeneracy of the genetic code in two manners: having more than one tRNA (with a specific anti-codon) for a particular amino acid; and 'wobble' base-pairing, i.e. permitting non-standard base-pairing at the 3rd anti-codon position. The record is from RNAcentral. Lineage: Bacteria; Pseudomonadati; Pseudomonadota; Gammaproteobacteria; Pasteurellales; Pasteurellaceae.